GACGAACGCUGGCGGCGUGCCUAACACAUGCAAGUCGAGCGGGGUUGAAGCGAGAGGUAACUCGAGUUUCUACCUAGCGGCGGACGGGUGAGUAACGCGUGGGCAACCUGCCUCAAGGUCUGGGAUAACAGCCCGAAAGGGCUGCUAAUACCGGGUAUGCUUGUGGCCUCGCAUGGGGCUAUGAGCAAAGGGGAAACCCGCCUUGAGAUGGGCCCGCGUCCCAUCAGCUAGUUGGUGAGGUAACAGCUCACCAAGGCGACGACGGGUAGCCGGCCUGAGAGGGUGACCGGCCACACUGGGACUGAGACACGGCCCAGACUCCUACGGGAGGCAGCAGUUGGGAAUCUUAGGCAAUGGACGAAAGUCUGACCUAGCGACGCCGCGUGAGGGAAGAAGGCCUUCGGGUUGUAAACCGUCUGUCAUGGGGAAGAAGGAAGUGACGGUACCCAACGAGGAAGCCCUGCUAACUACGUGCCAGCAGCCGCGGUAACAUACUCGUA
RNAcentral lists this ribosomal RNA (500 nucleotides) under uncultured bacterium. RNAcentral describes it as "bacterial SSU rRNA". It matches the Rfam family "Bacterial small subunit ribosomal RNA", at positions 28 to 529 of the family's 1533-position model. The record is from RNAcentral.